CCGCCGGGCGCCGGGGCCGCCGGCAGCGCCUCGCCCGCGCUUCCGGCGGCGACGUCGGCGACCAUCCGCAGUCCGUGGCCGUGCCGGCGGUC
Molecule: transfer RNA, 92 nt
Filed under: Actinomycetes bacterium
Lineage: Bacteria; Bacillati; Actinomycetota; Actinomycetes
Description: tRNA-Ala
Source: RNAcentral